AUACGUAGGGUGCAAGCGUUAAUCGGAAUUACUGGGCGUAAAGCGUGCGCAGGCGGUUUUGUAAGACAGAGGUGAAAUCCCCGGGCUCAACCUGGGAACUGCCUUUGUGACUGCAAGGCUAGAGUACGGCAGAGGGGGAUGGAAUUCCGCGUGUAGCAGUGAAAUGCGUAGAUAUGCGGAGGAACACCGAUGGCGAAGGCAAUCCCCUGGGCCUGUACCGACUCUCAUGCACGAAAGCGUGGGGAGCAAACAGGAUUAGAUACCCUGGUAGUCCACGCCCUAAACGAUGUCAACUGGUUGUUGGGUCUUCAUUGACUCAGUAACGAAGCUAACGCGUGAAGUUGACCGCCUGGGGAGUACGGCCGCAAGGUUAAAACUUAAAGGAAUUGACGGGG
This 395-nucleotide ribosomal RNA is filed under the name uncultured bacterium. RNAcentral describes it as "partial 16S ribosomal RNA". It matches the Rfam family "Bacterial small subunit ribosomal RNA", at positions 523 to 918 of the family's 1533-position model. The record is from RNAcentral.